GUAGGCAGCCUGCACCAGGAAGAGAGCUAUUAACAGAGAGAACUUUUAUUAUAUCAGAAAGACUUCCUUCACUGGCCUGCCAAACAUUUGUUUACCAAACAUUUCCUCUUCCCAUCUCCCUGUGAAUGGUUUUCCUUUCCUUUGAAGCCCCAGAGCCCUACCCCCUUCUCAGCUUUGGAAUGUUCAGAAACCUCAAGUACCUGACUGCUGCUGACUCCUCAUUUUCUCUGUGGGGCUUCUGAAUAUAUCUCCCCAUCAUAUCAUCAGACCGCAUGGCAGUUGUCCAUUUCCUGAUCUGCUAGACUGAGAAUUUGGGGAGAGCAGAGACUGGGACUCUCUUGCUGGCCAUUGCACUCCCAGCUCCUGGCACAACGCCUGGCAUAAACUGGUUAAACGCUCAUGGUUGGAGCCUUUACGGGGGUUGGACCUUAACGGCCGAGGAGUGUGUGCCUGAGGAGAGGUAAGGGAGGCGCAGUGUGCUUUUUUGGUGGGAUGAGGGAGGGAGCCGCACCUGAGGCCCUGGCCCUUGGAUCUUGUCCCCCAGCUUCUAGGUACUUGCCCUUGCCCUGGCCUUUUAGUGACAUUCCUAAUCUGUCCGAUGGAAACUGUCCCUUGUUGACCUUUACUCUUCAAAUGCAGUCCUGGCCAGGUUAUAUGGGGUAUGAUAGAUUUUGUGUGUCCUUUCAAAACACUGUGUUCUGGAUUAGGAGGCCUCUGGAUAAUUGGUUUGGUGACAAACUGGUCUUGUAUGAUUAAUUGCCAGCUUGUGUCUUUAGGGAAA
Bubalus bubalis (water buffalo) is the source of this 781-nucleotide long non-coding RNA. RefSeq lists it as uncharacterized. Lineage: Eukaryota; Metazoa; Chordata; Mammalia; Artiodactyla; Bovidae. The record is from RefSeq and is a predicted model, not a curated record. The transcript has 3 exons.